RNAcentral lists this ribosomal RNA (497 nucleotides) under uncultured bacterium. RNAcentral describes it as "partial 16S ribosomal RNA". It matches the Rfam family "Bacterial small subunit ribosomal RNA", at positions 28 to 507 of the family's 1533-position model. The record is from RNAcentral.
GAUGAACGCUGGCGGCGUGCCUAAUACAUGGAAGUCGAGCGAACAGACGAGGAGCUUGCUCCUCUGACGUUAGCGGCGGACGGGUGAGUAACACGUGGAUAACCUACCUAUAAGACUGGGAUAACUUCGGGAAACCGGAGCUAAUACCGGAUAAUAUAUUGAACCGCAUGGUUCAAUAGUGAAAGACGGUUUUGCUGUCACUUAUAGAUGGAUCCGCGCCGCAUUAGCUAGUUGGUAAGGUAACGGCUUACCAAGGCAACGAUGCGUAGCCGACCUGAGAGGGUGAUCGGCCACACUGGAACUGAGACACGGUCCAGACUCCUACGGGGGGCAGCAGUAGGGAAUCUUCCGCAAUGGGCGAAAGCCUGACGGAGCAACGCCGCGUGAGUGAUGAAGGUCUUCGGAUCGUAAAACUCUGUUAUUAGGGAAGAACAAAUGUGUAAGUAACUAUGCACGUCUUGACGGUACCUAAUCAGAAAGCCACGGCUAACUACGUG